GGGGGAGUUCCCGAGUGGCCAAAGGGGACCGGCUGUAAACCGGUUGGCUCCGCCUUCGGAGGUUCGAAUCCUCCCUCCCCCA
RNAcentral lists this transfer RNA (82 nucleotides) under Actinomycetes bacterium. RNAcentral describes it as "tRNA-Tyr". It matches the Rfam family "tRNA". Rfam says of the family: Transfer RNA (tRNA) molecules are approximately 80 nucleotides in length. Their secondary structure includes four short double-helical elements and three loops (D, anti-codon, and T loops). Lineage: Bacteria; Bacillati; Actinomycetota; Actinomycetes. RNAcentral also lists the same sequence under 5 other names. The record is from RNAcentral.